RNAcentral lists this ribosomal RNA (492 nucleotides) under uncultured bacterium. RNAcentral describes it as "partial 16S ribosomal RNA". It matches the Rfam family "Bacterial small subunit ribosomal RNA", at positions 29 to 507 of the family's 1533-position model. The record is from RNAcentral.
AGUGAACGCUGGCGGUAGGCCUAACACAUGCAAGUCGAACGGCAGCACAGUAAGAGCUUGCUCUUACGGGUGGCGAGUGGCGGACGGGUGAGGAAUACAUCGGAAUCUACUUUUUCGUGGGGGAUAACGUAGGGAAACUUACGCUAAUACCGCAUACGACCUACGGGUGAAAGUAGGGGAUCUUCGGACCUUGCGCGAUUGAAUGAGCCGAUGUCGGAUUAGCUAGUUGGCGGGGUAAAGGCCCACCAAGGCGACGAUCCGUAGCUGGCCUGAGAGGAUGAUCAGCCACACUGGAACUGAGACACGGUCCAGACUCCUACGGGAGGCAGCAGUGGGGAAUAUUGGACAAUGGGCGCAAGCCUGAUCCAGCCAUACCGCGUGGGUGAAGAAGGCCUUCGGGUUGUAAAGCCCUUUUGUUGGGAAAGAAAAGCAGCAGGUUAAUACCCCGCUGUUCUGACGGUACCCAAAGAAUAAGCACCGGCUAACUUCGUG